Molecule: ribosomal RNA, 479 nt
Filed under: Durinskia baltica
Lineage: Eukaryota; Dinophyceae; Peridiniales; Kryptoperidiniaceae
Description: partial Bacterial large subunit ribosomal RNA
Rfam family: Bacterial large subunit ribosomal RNA
Source: RNAcentral
UGUCGGGUAAGUUCCGACCUGCACGAAUGGCGUAACGAUGGGGGCGCUGUCUCUACCCGAGACUCAGUGAAAUUGAAAUCGCCGUGAAGAUGCGGUGUAUCCGCGGCUAGACGGAAAGACCCCGUGAACCUUUACUAUAGCUUCACAGUGAACUUUGAGCAUGUUUGUGUAGGAUAGCUGGGAGGCUUUGAAGUGGGAACGCCAGUUCUCAUGGAGCCAACCUUGAAAUACCAGCCUGACAUGUUUGAGGUUCUAACUUGGUCCCCUUAUCGGGGAUGAGGACACUGUGUGGUGGGUAGUUUGACUGGGGCGGUCUCCUCCCAAAGCGUAACGGAGGAGCACAAAGGUGGGCUAAGCAUGGUCGGACAUCAUGCGGUUAGUGUAAUGGCACAAGCCCGCUUAACUGCGAGACAGACACGUCGAGCAGGUACGAAAGUAGGUCAUAGUGAUCCGGUGGUUCUGUAUGGAAGGGCCAUCGC